GACGAACGCUGGCGGCGUGCUUAACACAUGCAAGUCGAACGGAAAGGCCUCUUUCGGGGGGUACUCGAGUGGCGAACGGGUGAGUAACACGUGAGUAACCUGCCCUUGACUUUGGGAUAACUUCAGGAAACUGGGGCUAAUACCGGAUAGGAGCUCCUGCUGCAUGGUGGGGGUUGGAAAGUUUCGGCGGUUGGGGGUGGACUCGCGGCUUAUCAGCUUGUUGGUGGGGUAGUGGCUUACCAAGGCUUUGACGGGUGGCCGGCCUGGGAGGGUGACCGGCCACAUUGGGACUGGGAGACGGCCCAGACUCCUACGGGAGGCAGCAGUGGGGAAUAUUGCACAAUGGGUGGAAGCCUGAUGCAGCAACGCCGUGUGCGGGAUGACGGCCUUCGGGUUGUAAACCGCUUUCGCUCAUGACGAAGCUUUGUGUGACGGUAGUGGGUAAAGAAGCACCGGCUAACUACGUG
This 467-nucleotide ribosomal RNA is filed under the name uncultured bacterium. RNAcentral describes it as "partial 16S ribosomal RNA". It matches the Rfam family "Bacterial small subunit ribosomal RNA", at positions 28 to 507 of the family's 1533-position model. The record is from RNAcentral.